GACGAACGCUGGCGGCGUGCUUAACACAUGCAAGUCGAACGGAAAGGCCCUGCUUGCAGGGUGCUCGAGUGGCGAACGGGUGAGUAACACGUGGGUGAUCUGCCCCUUACUUUGGGAUAAGCCUGGGAAACUGGGUCUAAUACUGGAUAGGACCAUGCUGUAGGUGGUGUGGUGGAAAGAUUAGUUUCGGUAAGGGAUGAGCUCGCGGCCUAUCAGCUUGUUGGUGGGGUAAUGGCCUACCAAGGCGUCGACGGGUAGCCGGCCUGAGAGGGUGGACGGCAACAUUGGGACUGAGAUACGGCCCAGACUCCUACGGGAGGCAGCAGUGGGGAAUAUUGCACAAUGGGCGCAAGCCUGAUGCAGCGACGACGCGUGGGGGAUGACGGCCUUCGGGUUGUAAACUCCUUUCAGCCAUGACGAAGCCCUUGUGGUGACGGUAGUGGUAGAAGAAGCACCGGCUAACUACGUG
Molecule: ribosomal RNA, 469 nt
Filed under: uncultured bacterium
Lineage: Bacteria
Description: partial 16S ribosomal RNA
Rfam family: Bacterial small subunit ribosomal RNA
Source: RNAcentral